This 76-nucleotide small RNA is filed under the name Xanthomonas oryzae. RNAcentral describes it as "sX9". It matches the Rfam family "Xanthomonas sRNA sX9". The record is from RNAcentral. Lineage: Bacteria; Pseudomonadati; Pseudomonadota; Gammaproteobacteria; Lysobacterales; Lysobacteraceae.
AUGGACCACGCGUCCACUGCGGUUCUGAGCGCGCCGUCCGCACGCACCUGACGACUGUGCAGUCGUUUUGUUAGCC